CAAUAGCGUAUAUUAAAGUUGUUGCAGUUAAAAAGCUCGUAGUUGGAUUUCGGGGCAGCCUGGCUGGUCCGCCGCAAGGCGAGUACUGGUCAGCCGCCCUUCCUCUCGAAAGCCCCGACUGCUCUUCGUUGCAGUGGUCGGGUAGUUCGGGACGUUUACUUUGAAAAAAUUGGAGUGUUCAAGGCAGGCCUACGCCUGAAUACAUUAGCAUGGAAUAAUGGAAGAGGACCUCGGUCCUAUUUUGUUGGUUUCCAGGGCCGAAGUAAUGAUUAAGAGGGACAGUUGGGGGCAUUCGUAUUUAAUUGUCAGAGGUGAAAUUCUCGGAUUUAUGAAAGACGAACAACUGCGAAAGCAUUUGCCAAGGAUGUUUUCAUUAA
RNAcentral lists this ribosomal RNA (377 nucleotides) under uncultured eukaryote. RNAcentral describes it as "partial 18S ribosomal RNA". It matches the Rfam family "Eukaryotic small subunit ribosomal RNA", at positions 592 to 976 of the family's 1831-position model. The record is from RNAcentral.